AGGAUCUUUGGCAAUGAGCGCAAGCUUGACCAAGCGACGCCGCGUGUGCGAUGAAGGCCUUCGGGUUGUAAAGCACUGUCGAGGGGGAGGAAGCCGCAAGGUUGACCUAUCCCUGGAGGAAGCACGGGCUAAGUUCGUGCCAGCAGCCGCGGUAAGACGAACCGUGCGAACGUUGUUCGGAAUCACUGGGCUUAAAGGGCGCGUAGGCGGGUUCACAAGUCUGUGGUGAAAUCCUCCAGCUUAACUGGAGAAGUGCCGUGGAUACUGUGAGUCUCGAGGAGGGUAGGGGCAUCUGGAACUGCCGGUGGAGCGGUGAAAUGCGUUGAUAUCGGCAGGAACUCCGGUGGCGAAGGCGAGAUGCUGGAUCCUUUCUGACGCUGAGGCGCGAAAGCCAGGGGAGCAAAC
This 405-nucleotide ribosomal RNA is filed under the name uncultured bacterium. RNAcentral's name for it is "bacterial SSU rRNA". It matches the Rfam family "Bacterial small subunit ribosomal RNA", at positions 358 to 773 of the family's 1533-position model. The record is from RNAcentral.